This 500-nucleotide ribosomal RNA is filed under the name uncultured Actinomycetes bacterium. RNAcentral's name for it is "bacterial SSU rRNA". It matches the Rfam family "Bacterial small subunit ribosomal RNA", at positions 73 to 589 of the family's 1533-position model. The record is from RNAcentral. Lineage: Bacteria; Bacillati; Actinomycetota; Actinomycetes.
GGCCCCUUCGGGGGUACUCGAGCGGCGAACGGGUGAGUAACACGUGAGUAACCUGCCCCAGGCUCUGGGAUAACCCUCGGAAACGGGGGCUAAUACCGGAUAUGACCUGCUGCCGCAUGGUGGUGGGUAGAAAGGUAUUUUUCCGGCCUGGGAUGGGCUCGCGGCCUAUCAGCUUGUUGGUGGGGUAAUGGCUCACCAAGGCGAUGACGGGUAGCCGGCCUGAGAGGGCGACCGGCCACACUGGGACUGAGACACGGCCCAGACUCCUACGGGAGGCAGCAGUGGGGAAUCUUGCGCAAUGGGCGGAAGCCUGACGCAGCGACGCCGCGUGGGGGAUGAAGGCCUUCGGGUUGUAAACCUCUUUCAGCAGGGACGAAGGUGACGUGUACCUGCAGAAGAAGCGCCGGCUAACUACGUGCCAGCAGCCGCGGUAAUACGUAGGGCGCGAGCGUUGUCCGGAAUUAUUGGGCGUAAAGAGCUCGUAGGCGGCUGGUCGCGUC